UCGUAUGUACUGUUGUUUGUCUGUUUGUUAUUUUCAUUUUUAGCCAUGACGUUGUCAGUUUAUUUUCGAUUUAUGAAUUUGACUGUUCCUCUUUUACUAGAUUGUAGAAAUGUAUUAUAUUUAUAAAGCGGAUCGUUCAUGCCUUUUUUUUUAACUUGCGCAUUCAGUCAAACAUAUUACAAGCUCCAUGUACGUACAUCAUUUUACUUCUGUUUAUGUUUGAAUAGGGAUGUCUCUGUAUCUUUUGAAAAUGAGUUUCUUCAGUGUAAAAGUAUAAAAAAUAUUAUGAGGCUUAGUAAGGCAUGAUGUAUCUAGCAUUAUCACAUUAAUCAUACAUCUCUGUAUAAACUGUGUUAACAAAAAGUUAUCACAUUUCAAUUCAAAGCAGACGUGUAUACAAUCAUUUAAUAAUUUCCGAUAAUUGUUAAUUUUGAGACUGUUGACACAUUAAAAAUCUAGUCAAACAUUAAGCACAAUCAUCAGUUUAUCGUUAUGUGAUACCAUACAUGAUUACUAUUUUGAAAUAUGCUAUUGAUUGGUUUAAGAAAUAUUAAACAAUUGCAAUAAUGUGGUAUGUAUGUUUUUGUUUUAAUGUGUUAUCAUAUGUUAUUCUACAAUAUAUCACUUUGGCAUAAGUUUAUUGGAGAAGCAUAGAACAGCUGACAACCCAAGGACUAUAGGAUAUCAUAGUCAUUUGUAAACAGAGUACGUUUUAAUGCAAACAACAAUUACCGUCAUCAUAUGAUCCAUCUGCCAUUUAAGUGACAUUUGUUGUUCUGUUAACUUUACCGAAAUAAAGGUAGAUUCGUAUUGACCACUACAUCUUUUUUUCUGACACAUUAUCAUUUAUAUUAUAUACCACACCUCUUUAUUUGUUUCAAAAACAUUCAUAUACAUAUGAUGUAUUUAUAAUUAUAUCUUUAUAUAAUAAAACAUUCAUGUGUGGUCAAGC
Molecule: long non-coding RNA, 952 nt
Filed under: Mytilus galloprovincialis (Mediterranean mussel)
Lineage: Eukaryota; Metazoa; Mollusca; Bivalvia; Mytilida; Mytilidae
Source: RNAcentral